RNAcentral lists this transfer RNA (73 nucleotides) under Marinilabiliales bacterium. RNAcentral's name for it is "tRNA-Gln". It matches the Rfam family "tRNA". From Rfam's summary of the family: Transfer RNA (tRNA) molecules are approximately 80 nucleotides in length. Their secondary structure includes four short double-helical elements and three loops (D, anti-codon, and T loops). Further hydrogen bonds mediate the characteristic L-shaped molecular structure. tRNAs have two regions of fundamental functional importance: the anti-codon, which is responsible for specific mRNA codon recognition, and the 3' end, to which the tRNAs corresponding amino acid is attached (by aminoacyl-tRNA synthetases). tRNAs cope with the degeneracy of the genetic code in two manners: having more than one tRNA (with a specific anti-codon) for a particular amino acid; and 'wobble' base-pairing, i.e. permitting non-standard base-pairing at the 3rd anti-codon position. The record is from RNAcentral. Lineage: Bacteria; Pseudomonadati; Bacteroidota; Bacteroidia; Marinilabiliales.
UGUCCUGUGGUGUAAUUGGCAACACGUCUGAUUCUGGAUCAGAAGAGUCAAGGUUCGACCCCUUGCAGGACAA